RNAcentral lists this ribosomal RNA (253 nucleotides) under uncultured bacterium. RNAcentral describes it as "partial 16S ribosomal RNA". It matches the Rfam family "Bacterial small subunit ribosomal RNA", at positions 524 to 776 of the family's 1533-position model. The record is from RNAcentral.
UACGAAGGGGGCUAGCGUUGCUCGGAAUUACUGGGCGUAAAGCGCACGUAGGCGGUCUUUUAAGUCGGGGGUGAAAUCCUGGAGCUCAACUCCAGAACUGUCUUCGAUACUGGAAGACUUGAGUCCGGGAGAGGUGAGUGGAACUGCGAGUGUAGAGGUGAAAUUCGUAGAUAUUCGCAAGAACACCAGUGGCGAAGGCGGCUCACUGGCCCGGAACUGACGCUGAGGUGCGAAAGCGUGGGGAGCAAACAGG